RNAcentral lists this ribosomal RNA (1017 nucleotides) under uncultured bacterium. Its description in RNAcentral is "bacterial SSU rRNA". It matches the Rfam family "Bacterial small subunit ribosomal RNA", at positions 355 to 1375 of the family's 1533-position model. The record is from RNAcentral.
UGAGGAAUAUUGGUCAGUGGGCGAGAGCCUGAACCAGCCAAGUAGCGUGAAGGAUGACUGCCCUAUGGGUUGUAAACUUCUUUUAUAAAGGAAUAAAGUCGGGUAUGGAUACCCGUUUGCAUGUACUUUAUGAAUAAGGAUCGGCUAACUCCGUGCCAGCAGCCGCGGUAAUACGGAGGAUCCGAGCGUUAUCCGGAUUUAUUGGGUUUAAAGGGUGCGUAGGUGGUGAUUUAAGUCAGCGGUGAAAGUUUGUGGCUCAACCAUAAAAUUGCCGUUGAAACUGGGUUACUUGAGUGUGUUUGAGGCAGGCGGAAUGCGUGGUGUAGCGGUGAAAUGCUUAGAUAUCACGAAGAACCCCGAUUGCGAAGGCAGCCUGCUAAACCGCCACUGACGUUGAGGCUCGAAAGUGUGGGUAUCAAACAGGAUUAGAUACCCUGGUAGUCCACACGGUAAACGAUGGAUACUCGCUGUUGGCGAUAGACUGUCAGCGGCUUAGCGAAAGCGUUAAGUAUCCCACCUGGGGAGUACGCCGGCAACGGUGAAACUCAAAGGAAUUGACGGGGGCCCGCACAAGCGGAGGAACAUGUGGUUUAAUUCGAUGAUACGCGAGGAACCUUACCCGGGCUUGAAUUGCAGACGAAUUGCUUGGAAACAGGCAAGCCGCAAGGCGUCUGUGAAGGUGCUGCAUGGUUGUCGUCAGCUCGUGCCGUGAGGUGUCGGCUUAAGUGCCAUAACGAGCGCAACCCUCGUGUCCAGUUACUAGCAGGUUAUGCUGAGGACUCUGGACAGACUGCCAUCGUAAGAUGUGAGGAAGGUGGGGAUGACGUCAAAUCAGCACGGCCCUUACGUCCGGGGCUACACACGUGUUACAAUGGGGGGUACAGCAGGCAGCUACCGGGCGACCGGAUGCCAAUCCCGAAAGCCUCUCUCAGUUCGGACUGGAGUCUGCAACCCGACUCCACGAAGCUGGAUUCGCUAGUAAUCGCGCAUCAGCCACGGCGCGGUGAAUACGUUCCC